Molecule: non-coding RNA, 128 nt
Organism: Euleptes europaea (tarantolino)
Lineage: Eukaryota; Metazoa; Chordata; Lepidosauria; Squamata; Sphaerodactylidae
Product: small Cajal body-specific RNA 4
Exons: 1
Source: RefSeq, a predicted model, not a curated record
CCUAGAGGAUUAAGAAGGCAGAGCCUAUUGAGCAAGGCUCUGCCGAUACUAUCCUCUUAGAGUAAUGAGAUGGAGAGAGGGGCCCAGCUUGCAGGAGAGCAGGGGCCUCACUGUACCAUCCAACAACC